UGGGGAAUAUUGCACAAUGGGCGAAAGCCUGAUGCAGCAACGUCGCGUGAGUGAAGAAGGCCCUUGGGUUGUAAAGCUCUUUCGGUUAGGAAGAAGUGUUUUUUGGUUAAUAACCAAAGAAUUUGACGGUACUAGCAUAAGAAGCACUGGCUAAUUCCGUGCCAGCAGCCGCGGUAAUACGGAAGGUGCAAGCGUUGUUCGGAUUGACUGGGCGUAAAGGGCGUGUAGGCUGGUUUGUGUGUCGAUUGUGAAAGCCCUGGGCUUAACCUGGGAAUUGCACUCGAAACUGCAGAUCUUGAAUGUCUAGGAGGUUGGUAGAAUUCCAGGUGUAGGAGUGAAAUCCGUAGAUAUCUGGAGGAAUACCGGAGGCGAAGGCGGCCAACUGAUAGAACAUUGACGCUGAGGCGCGAAAGCGUGGGGAGCAAACAGG
Molecule: ribosomal RNA, 430 nt
Filed under: uncultured bacterium
Lineage: Bacteria
Description: bacterial SSU rRNA
Rfam family: Bacterial small subunit ribosomal RNA
Source: RNAcentral